ACACGAGUUUGAUCAUGGCUCAGAUUGAACGCUGGCGGCAUGCUUUACACAUGCAAGUCGAACGGUAACAGGCCUUCGGGUGCUGACGAGUGGCGAACGGGUGAGUAAUGCAUCGGAACGUGCCCAAUCGUGGGGGAUAACGUAGCGAAAGUUACGCUAAUACCGCAUAAGCCCUGAGGGGGAAAGUGGGGGACCGCAAGGCCUCACGCGAAUGGAGCGGCCGAUGUCAGAUUAGCUAGUUGGUGGGGUAAAGGCCCACCAAGGCGACGAUCUGUAGCGGGUCUGAGAGGAUGAUCCGCCACACUGGGACUGAGACACGGCCCAGACUCCUACGGGAGGCAGCAGUGGGGAAUUUUGGACAAUGGGCGCAAGCCUGAUCCAGCCAUGCCGCGUGCGGGACGAAGGCCUUCGGGUUGUAAACCGCUUUCAGCCGGAAAGAAAUCGCCGUUUUUAAUACAGACGGUGGAUGACGGUACCAGAAGAAGAAGCACCGGCUAACUACGUG
RNAcentral lists this ribosomal RNA (505 nucleotides) under uncultured bacterium. RNAcentral's name for it is "bacterial SSU rRNA". It matches the Rfam family "Bacterial small subunit ribosomal RNA", at positions 1 to 507 of the family's 1533-position model. The record is from RNAcentral.